RNAcentral lists this ribosomal RNA (253 nucleotides) under uncultured bacterium. RNAcentral describes it as "partial 16S ribosomal RNA". It matches the Rfam family "Bacterial small subunit ribosomal RNA", at positions 524 to 776 of the family's 1533-position model. The record is from RNAcentral.
GACGUAGGGCGCGAGCGUUGUCCGGAUUUAUUGGGCGUAAAGAGCUCGUAGGCGGUUUGUCGCGUCUGCCGUGAAAGUCCGGGGCUCAACUCCGGAUCUGCGGUGGGUACGGGCAGACUAGAGUGAUGUAGGGGAGACUGGAAUUCCUGGUGUAGCGGUGAAAUGCGCAGAUAUCAGGAGGAACACCGGUGGCGAAGGCGGGUCUCUGGGCCGAUACUGACGCUGAGGAGCGAAAGCGUGGGGAGCGAACAGG